RNAcentral lists this unclassified non-coding RNA (346 nucleotides) under soil metagenome. RNAcentral's name for it is "partial contains 5.8S ribosomal RNA, internal transcribed spacer 2, and large subunit ribosomal RNA". The stretch from base 1 to 120 matches the Rfam family "5.8S ribosomal RNA", at positions 35 to 154 of the family's 154-position model. The record is from RNAcentral.
GAUGAAGAACGCAGCGAAAUGCGAUAAGUAUUGUGAAUUGCAGAAUUCAGUGAAUCAUCGAAUCUUUGAACGCACAUUGCGCCCCCUGGUAUUCCGGGGGGCAUGCCUGUCCGAGCGUCAUUGCUGCCCUCAAGCACGGCUUGUGUGUUGGGCCCCGUCCUCCGAUCCCGGGGGACGGGCCCGAAAGGCAGCGGCGGCACCGCGUCCGGUCCUCGAGCGUAUGGGGCUUUGUCACCCGCUCUGUAGGCCCGGCCGGCGCUUGCCGAUCAACCCAAAUUUUUAUCCAGGUUGACCUCGGAUCAGGUAGGGAUACCCGCUGAACUUAAGCAUAUCAAUAAGCGGAGGA